AUGUAUUACAAUGGCCAUGACCAUCAUUUGUUUGGUUGUCACAGGCCUGUCACUGGACUGGCUGAUUUGAUCCACCCACAACGACAGACCCAAAGCAACUCCGGAGCCCAUGCUGAGAUGCUUCAGUUCCCAUCCUUUCCUCUUGGCUCCUCCAGUGCCCGUGUUGUGCCCAUGGUAACAAAUACCAGAAAUCACCCUGGCCAUGCCAAGGCAUUACAGCUGCAAGGACUUCCCUCAGGCGUGCUGUGUAGGUAAGCCAGGCCACCUGCACUUACACUGAAGGGCCCUUUCAAAGUGGUGCCAAACAGUUUUCCAAUGCAGCUGCCCCACAGCCUGAUUCUGCUAGAAAUGCUCAUCUAUUAGUGAUGCCCUGCUGGAAGAGAAAAAAAGGAAAGCAGGGAGGCAGGGCACGAGCUGAUGCUGCGGGCAGAGUGGCUGGGGCUGCCUCAUUAACACCUCUGGCUUGAGCCGCUGCUGUUCUGCCUCCCUGUUGCUACGGCAGGUUUCUAUGGCAAAGGCCCACCAAGAAAGUGAGAAUUAAAGAGAGUUAAUGUUCCAAACAGAUGAGCCUCAUGUCGACAGCUGGCUUCUUCAGCGGAAAAAUGAGCUGCCAGAAAGGGAGACUGGCCAUCAAUACAUGAGACAUCCAAAAAUUAUUGCGUUACCAAGACCUACCGAUACCUAAGACUGAUACCCAAGGAGCACCUCCUUCAGCAGCCUAGAGUGGUCCCACAGCGUAACUGGUCUGUUUUCUGUGUGCUGCAGAAACCCAGAGGCACUUAUGUCCUGUCCUAGUGCUCUGAGGUACCAGUGGUACCAGCAGCAAUGCCUUUGGGCAUGCCAGCCUAGUGCUUGCUGCAGGAGGCUGCUAGCCAGGCUCUGGAUCUCCCACACCUUCACAGGACUGAACACCUCGUACCCCUUCUCAAGAAAGAGUUUUAACCUUGUUCCAGAUUAAUGUGUUCUGGGAUGGACUGAGCUCCUGAGAAGGCAGUGGCAGGUUCCUGGGACCAGAUAACGGAGAACAAAAGGACACUUGGCUCUCCAGGUGGUGAGCAGGACGUUCGCCUGGGGUUCAGUCCUGCUCUGGAGGAGCCUGUGGCCCAUAAGAGACUGUUCUCCUCUCCUCACACCUCAUUGCGAGGCCUGCCUGGUGGUCGGCUGCAUUGUGGACGGGAUUACAUGAAAUGGCUGCCUGAGGAGUGGGCUCAGAGCAGGAGGGAGCCUCCAGUGCUACAGCCUUGGAAAACAUGGUGUGCCUCACUGGCAUCAGUAUGCUGACCCCCUCAGUCUGUUGUUACGCUGUCGGACAUCGGUGCACAUGGAAAAUGGGCAGGUCUGGGUGCAGCUUUCAAAGCCAGCUUUCUCGCAGCUGGACAGCCCUUGCAGGCAGGAGCCAGGCCCGUACGAAUCGGACUGCCAACUACAGCACCCACAGCGGGUGCAGCAUGGAUUCCUGAUAAAGGCAUGUGAAAUCUCAUAAAGUCUGCUUCUGCUAAUGGUCUUCACUUUGCUCCUUUAUUUAUAUAUAUCCACU
Molecule: long non-coding RNA, 1537 nt
Filed under: Anas zonorhyncha (Eastern spot-billed duck)
Lineage: Eukaryota; Metazoa; Chordata; Aves; Anseriformes; Anatidae
Description: lncRNA (ENSAZOG00000012486.1)
Source: RNAcentral